AACGCGAAGAACCUUACCAGGUCUUGACAUCCCCUGACAACCCUAGAGAUAGGGUGUUCCCCUUCGGGGGACAGGGUGACAGGUGGUGCAUGGUUGUCGUCAGCUCGUGUCGUGAGAUGUUGGGUUAAGUCCCGCAACGAGCGCAACCCUUGACCUUAGUUGCCAGCAUUCAGUUGGGCACUCUAAGGUGACUGCCGAUGACAAAUCGGAGGAAGGUGGGGAUGACGUCAAAUCAUCAUGCCCCUUAUGACCUGGGCUACACACGUGCUACAAUGGGCGGUACAAAGGGCUGCGAACCCGCGAGGGGGAGCGAAUCCCAAAAAGCCGCUCUCAGUUCGGAUUGCAGGCUGCAACUCGCCUGCAUGAAGCCGGAAUCGCUAGUAAUCGCGGAUCAGCAUGCCGCGGUGAAUACGUUCCCGGGCCUUGUACACACCGUAGUAC
This 441-nucleotide ribosomal RNA is filed under the name uncultured bacterium. RNAcentral's name for it is "bacterial SSU rRNA". It matches the Rfam family "Bacterial small subunit ribosomal RNA", at positions 958 to 1398 of the family's 1533-position model. The record is from RNAcentral.